CGCCUCCUGCAGCAUAAAGUAUAGGAGGUCCAGCCUGCCCAGUGACUACGGGUUCAACGGCCGCGGUAUAUUGACCGUGCAAAGGUAGCGCAAUCACUUGUCUUUUAAAUAGAGACCUGUAUGAAUGGCUAGACGAGGGCUUAACUGUCUCCCCCCUCCAGUCAGUGAAAUUGAUCUAUCCGUGCAGAAGCGGGUAUAGUACUACAAGACGAGAAGACCCUUUGGAGCUUAAGGUACAGAAUUCAGCCACGUUAAGCAACUCCGUAAACAGCAAGAACUUAGUGGUCAUGAAAUUUUACCUUCGGUUGGGGCGACCGCGGAGGAAAAGCAAGCCUCCGAGUGGACUGGGCCGAGACCCUAAAGCCAAGAGAAACAUCUUCAAGCCGCAGAACAUCUGACCAAUAAUGAUCCGGCUAAAAAGCCGAUCAACGGACCAAGUUACCCUAGGGAUAACAGCGCAAUCCUCUCCCAGAGCCCAUAUCGACGAGGGGGUUUACGACCUCGAUGUUGGAUCAGGACAUCCUGGUGGUGCAGCCGCUAUUAAGGGUUCGUUUGUUCAACGAUUAAAGUCCU
Molecule: ribosomal RNA, 573 nt
Filed under: Notropis atherinoides (emerald shiner)
Lineage: Eukaryota; Metazoa; Chordata; Actinopteri; Cypriniformes; Leuciscidae
Description: partial large subunit ribosomal RNA
Rfam family: Bacterial large subunit ribosomal RNA
Source: RNAcentral